UAAGGAAUAUUGGUCAAUGCCCGGAAGGGUGAACCAGCCAUCCCGCGUGAAGGAUGAAGGGGCUCUGCCUUGUAAACUUCUUUUGUAUGGGGCGAAAAAAGGGGAUUUAUCCUCGACUGACGGUACCAUAAGAAUAAGCACCGGCUAACUCCGUGCCAGCAGCCGCGGUAAUACGGAGGGUGCGAACGUUAUCCGGAAUCACUGGGUUUAAAGGGUGCGUAGGCUGUUUAAUAAGUCAGUGGUGAAAGGC
This 250-nucleotide ribosomal RNA is filed under the name uncultured bacterium. RNAcentral's name for it is "partial 16S ribosomal RNA". It matches the Rfam family "Bacterial small subunit ribosomal RNA", at positions 355 to 602 of the family's 1533-position model. The record is from RNAcentral.